GAUGAACGCUGGCGGCGUGCCUAAUACAUGCAAGUCGAACGAACAGACCACGACGUUGCUCGACUGACGUUAACGGCGGACGUGAGAGUAACACAUGGAUAAACUACCUAUAAGACUGUGAUAAAUACGGGAAACCGUACCUCAUACCGGAUAAUAUAUUAAACCGCAUGGUUCAAUAGUGUAAGCCGGUAUUGCUGUCGCUUAUAGAUGGAUCCGCGGCGCAUUAGCUAGUUGGUAAGGUAACGGCUUACCAAGUCAACGAUGCGUAGCAGACCUGAGAGGGUGACCGGCCACACUGGAACUGAGACACGGUCCAGACUCCUACGGGAGGCAGCAGUAGGGAAUCUUCCGCAAUGGGCGAAAGCCUGACGCAGCAACGCCGCGUGAGUGAUGAAGGUCUUCGGAUCGUAAAACUCUGUUAUUAGGGAAGAACAAAUGUGUAAGUAACUAUGCACGUCUUGACGGUACCUUAUCAGAAAGCCACGGCUAACUACGUG
Molecule: ribosomal RNA, 497 nt
Filed under: uncultured bacterium
Lineage: Bacteria
Description: partial 16S ribosomal RNA
Rfam family: Bacterial small subunit ribosomal RNA
Source: RNAcentral